UUCAAAUACUCUUUGUCCUGCCCCUGCUUGGCGAAGUUUACCGAAAUUAUCUACCUACCCCGCUGGAGUGGGAGUCGGGAGAGAGCUGGAACCGCGACUCUGCUGCUCACCUUUGUGAGAUUCCCACAUCUUCUAGUUGGACAAUAUUGGAGAAGACACCACAUUUUGACUGAGUUCCAGUGAUAUGACAGCCUUUCAAUUCUCUAAUCUCAUAGAAGUUAGAAAAAAAAAAGUAGAUAAUCAAAAUCCACGGAAAAUACAGAAGAUUCCAUUAACUCUGAGAGUGAUUAUCAGGUAUCCUUAGGACCUCAAGAAAGCUGUUUUCUCCUGGGCCUGUGGAGAGCUCAAGUGCCAGCAACCUACCACAAAGUUGGUGGCGGUAGUAGGGGAGUGGGGGGAGGGGGCGGUGAAGUGCUGAAGGGCUUCUCAGUCUUCUUUAAUUAGAGUGGGAAGAAAAGAGCACCUCCUCAUUUUAGAGUACAAGGUGUGAACUCACUCUCAGCUGCCAAAUGAGCUUCACCUUGGGCUGUUCUGCAUGCUUUCUCCUAGUGCUUUAAGCCACCCUGAGAUGUACAGACCAAUACUGGCUGUCACAAAAAUACACUUGAGUACAUAGACCAUUGACACUAUAAAGCAAAUGAACAAUGAAGUCUACAUAACAGCCAACUAACAACAUGAUGACAGGAUCACAUCUGCACAUAUCAAUAUUAACCUUGAAUGUAAAUGAGCUAAAUGCCUCAUUUAAUAGGCAGAGAGUGGCAAGUCGGACAAAGCAGCAAGACUCAACUGUAUGUCUUCAAGAGACCCAUCUCAUGUGCAGGGACACCAAUAGCCUCAAAGUAAGGGGAUGGAGAAAGAUCUAUCCAGCAAAUGGAAAACAAAAAACAGCACUCUGUAUCCAACAAAAACAGAAUAUACAUUCUUCUCAGCUGCACAUGGUGGUACAUACUCUUAAAACUGACCACAAUUGCUUUCUUGGCCAGAAGGCAAUUCUCAACAAAUUCAAGAAACCUGAAAUACCAGCCGGGUGUGGUGGCUCACACCUGUAAUCCCAACACUUUAGAAGGCUGAGGUGGGCAAAUCACUUGAGGUCAAGAGUUCGAGACCAGCCUGGCCAACAUGGUGAAAACCCAUUUCUGUUGAAAAAUAUAAAACUUAGCCAAGCAUGGUGGCAUGUGCCUGUAAUCCCAGCUACUCAGGAGGCUGAGUCACGAGAAUUACUUGAACCUGGGAGGAGGAGGUUGCAAUGAGCUGAGAUCAUGCCAUUGCACUCCAGCCUGGUUGACAGAGUAAGACUCAUCUCAAAAAACAAAAACAAAACCCGAAAUACCAACCACAUUCCUGGGUCACAGUGCCAUAAAAAUAAAUACCAAGAAGAUCUCUCAAAACCAUAUAAUUAAGUGGAAAUUAAUCUACUUCUGAAUGACUUUUGGGUAAACAAAGAGAAAUUAAGGGAGAAAUCAAGUAAUUGUUUACAACUAA
Long non-coding RNA from Piliocolobus tephrosceles (Ugandan red Colobus), 1482 nucleotides. RefSeq lists it as uncharacterized. The transcript has 2 exons. The record is from RefSeq and is a predicted model, not a curated record. Lineage: Eukaryota; Metazoa; Chordata; Mammalia; Primates; Cercopithecidae.